CAGCCGCCACGGUAAUACAGAGGGUGCGAGCGUUAAUCGGAUUUACUGGGCGUAAAGCGUGCGUAGGCGGCUUUUUAAGUCGGAUGUGAAAUCCCUGAGCUUAACUUAGGAAUUGCAUUCGAUACUGGGAAGCUAGAGUAUGGGAGAGGAUGGUAGAAUUCCAGGUGUAGCGGUGAAAUGCGUAGAGAUCUGGAGGAAUACCGAUGGCGAAGGCAGCCAUCUGGCCUAAUACUGACGCUGAGGUACGAAAGCAUGGGGAGCAAACAGGAUUAGAGACCCGUGUAGUCCCUGUCUCUUAUAC
Molecule: ribosomal RNA, 301 nt
Filed under: uncultured bacterium
Lineage: Bacteria
Description: partial 16S ribosomal RNA
Rfam family: Bacterial small subunit ribosomal RNA
Source: RNAcentral